Molecule: small nuclear RNA, 189 nt
Organism: Paramisgurnus dabryanus
Lineage: Eukaryota; Metazoa; Chordata; Actinopteri; Cypriniformes; Cobitidae
Product: U2 spliceosomal RNA
Source: RefSeq, a predicted model, not a curated record
AUCGCUUCUCGGCCUUUUGGCUAAGAUCAAGUGUAGUAUCUGUUCUUAUCAGUUUAAUGUCUGAUACGUCUCCUAUCCGGGGAGGUCCGUGUACGUUUUGAUAGUUUGUUUUUUCGUUUACACCAAAAAACAAAAUAACGAGAAACCACACGUUUUUUGUUUGUCGUUUCAAACAAAAAAACAAAAACC